GCCAAUGUAGCUCAGUGGUAGAGCAGCUGUUUCGUAAACAGCAGGUCGUGGGUUCAAUUCCCACCGUUGGCU
RNAcentral lists this transfer RNA (72 nucleotides) under Candidatus Shapirobacteria bacterium CG_4_10_14_0_8_um_filter_39_15. RNAcentral's name for it is "tRNA-Thr". It matches the Rfam family "tRNA". From Rfam's summary of the family: Transfer RNA (tRNA) molecules are approximately 80 nucleotides in length. Their secondary structure includes four short double-helical elements and three loops (D, anti-codon, and T loops). The record is from RNAcentral. Lineage: Bacteria; Candidatus Shapironibacteriota. RNAcentral also lists the same sequence under 2 other names.